RNAcentral lists this ribosomal RNA (586 nucleotides) under uncultured bacterium. RNAcentral's name for it is "bacterial SSU rRNA". It matches the Rfam family "Bacterial small subunit ribosomal RNA", at positions 102 to 684 of the family's 1533-position model. The record is from RNAcentral.
ACGGGUGAGUAAUGCAUCGGAACGUGCCCAGUAGUGGGGGAUAGCCCGGCGAAAGCCGGAUUAAUACCGCAUACGACCUACGGGUGAAAGGGGGGGAUCGCAAGACCUCUCGCUAUUGGAGCGGCCGAUGUCAGAUUAGGUAGUUGGUGGGGUAAAGGCCUACCAAGCCGACGAUCUGUAGCUGGUCUGAGAGGACGACCAGCCACACUGGGACUGAGACACGGCCCAGACUCCUACGGGAGGCAGCAGUGGGGAAUUUUGGACAAUGGGCGCAAGCCUGAUCCAGCCAUGCCGCGUGCGGGAAGAAGGCCUUCGGGUUGUAAACCGCUUUUGUCAGGGAAGAAAUCUUCUGGGCUAAUACCCCGGGAGGAUGACGGUACCUGAAGAAUAAGCACCGGCUAACUACGUGCCAGCAGCCGCGGUAAUACGUAGGGUGCGAGCGUUAAUCGGAAUUACUGGGCGUAAAGCGUGCGCAGGCGGUUUUGUAAGACAGAGGUGAAAUCCCCGGGCUCAACCUGGGAACUGCCUUUGUGACUGCAAGGCUUGAGUGCGGCAGAGGGGGAUGGAAUUCCGCGUGUAGCAGUGA